GGCAUUUGAAGACUCUGGCUACGCCAGCACAGGGUCCGGGGAUAACCUGGGUUGGUUUCCUCCUCGUAGCUUCGUUUGCUGGUAAUGAUUUGAAACCAGAGAAGUAAAUUUGACCGGAAGAAAAGAUGAAUCGCGGAUCGCAGUGGUUCAAUCGCUAGAUGAAUGUCGAGCGGAUUGGGGCUGCAGGCGACUGAGCUUCGCCUGGGGUUGUCGGCGGCGUAGUGGAAGGCGAGAGCGCGGAGAAGAGAAGAUACGAGGAAAUAAUCGACCUGAUACUUCAGAUCCAGACACCCACCGAUGUGAAGGAAACGUACGAAGCUGCCGAGGGUUGGGAACACUGCUCCAUGUGGCGGCGGCGUCGACACGGGAAAGCCGCCUGCUUCCAAGUGCAGGUUGUAAGCAGAUGAUCAGUGAGGUCAUUCAGGAAGAACAUCUUUUCUCUUCACUCUGACAAGGGGAACAGCAACAUGAAGGAGGAUGGUGAAAAGUUAAGCAACCCAAUGGCCUCCUUCAUGAAGGUGAGGAUGGACAGUCCGCCAUACUUGCACAAGGUCGAUCCAAAGAUGUACAAGAGUUACCAAGAGCUCUCCAUGGCGUUGCAGAAGAUGUUUGGCUCCUUCACCAACACUGGAAACUGUGGCUGGCUUUCAGGGAAUGAGUGGGAGGGACAACAUAAAUGAGAGCAAGUAAUGCAGGAUGUUUGUCAACUCACGCAAGCGCUUGUGGAUCAUGAAAGGAUCAGAAGCCACAUGGACUUGCACCAUGAGCCAUGGCAAAGUGCAAGAACAGAAGCUAAAGGUUCAUUCCAAGUAAAAUGUCAAACCCAAACUUCUCUCUCGAUUUGGAUAGAGCCAUCUAUAUGUUUAUUGUGCUUAGAUAAAUCUUAAUUACAUAUGUUGCAUAGAACAAUUUUGUUCAAUGCUACUUCAAUAGUGUUGUUUCCUUGUCUGUUUUUAAUUAUUGGUGUCGGUGUGGUAAUUAUGUAUAUUGAAAAUUAGGUAAUUAUGUUGGUGAUCACUAAUAAAGAAAUUAAUCUUCUGAAAACAAGGUAAUAAAAUAUACAUAUAUUUAAACUAAGGAUUAAAAAUAGUAUGACUGAAGAAGCAUUUGAUUGAAUUGCCCUAGGAGUCAAAUUAUAUAGAAGUCCUAUAAAGAUGAGUACUGCAUACAGCUCAGGGGCCAACCAUAAUGAUGUUUGUAAGACAUUUUGUUCCUGAUGCAGGAAGAUAUCAUGGACCACCAAACUAUUGUUAUGACUAUUUGAUUUGAUUUGAUCAUCAUUUUUGUAGAAAGUUUGAUACCAGUAUUGAUUAGAUAUUUUUGAUUGAAGUAGCUAAAAAUUUGACAAAUUAUGAAAUGGUAACGGGUGAAAUUGAGAUAAGUUCAGAUGGGAUUUUGGUUAAAACUUCACUAGGCCUCCAGUAACCGAAGUUACUAACAAAUCAAGAACCUAACUAAAAAACUUGAAAAAUAGCCGAGCCAAUGUUUUAGCUUGGUUAAUCUUGGUCAUUUGUCAACUCCUAUUGGUAAAUGGUAAUGUAGGCUGACAGAAUCAUUAAUAUAUAUGAUGUUGAACAGCAAUUUAGAUUUGAAGAGGAAUUGCAAUAUGAAACAUCAAUGUGUGCAGUAGUAAAGUAUUGGAAUUUGAUUUGGACAUUUUUGAACAAGGUAGGUCCUAAUUCAUAAAGAAUGAGUUGGACCUUGGAUUAGUCAACAUGUCUAGCAGUAGAAUGUCUUAGAAACCAACAGAAACUCCAUGACACAUUGAUAGAACUAAUUCAAACUGAAGAUUCCAUGGCUUAAGGUAGCAUCAGAGUCCACAAACCACAGUGACAAGGUGGGGGAAAAAACCAAGAAGAUUCAAAUCAAUUGUACGUGUUAAAAUGACAUGAACAUUUUUUUUUCUUAUUGUGCAGCAUCACCACUCUUUUCAGCAAAUGCUCUGCAGUUUCCUUGGGUUAAAUCUGGUCUUACUUUUGCC
Zingiber officinale is the source of this 1981-nucleotide long non-coding RNA. RefSeq lists it as uncharacterized. The transcript has 5 exons. Lineage: Eukaryota; Viridiplantae; Streptophyta; Magnoliopsida; Zingiberales; Zingiberaceae. The record is from RefSeq and is a predicted model, not a curated record.